This 495-nucleotide ribosomal RNA is filed under the name uncultured bacterium. RNAcentral's name for it is "partial 16S ribosomal RNA". It matches the Rfam family "Bacterial small subunit ribosomal RNA", at positions 28 to 507 of the family's 1533-position model. The record is from RNAcentral.
GACGAACGCUGGCGGCGUGCCUAAUACAUGCAAGUAGAACGCUGAAGGAGGAGCUUGCUUCUCCGGAUGAGUUGCGAACGGGUGAGUAACGCGUAGGUAACCUGCCUGGUAGCGGGGGAUAACUAUUGGAAACGAUAGCUAAUACCGCAUAACAGUAGAUAUUGCAUGAUAUCUGCUUGAAAGGUGCAAUUGCAUCACUACCAGAUGGACCUGCGUUGUAUUAGCUAGUUGGUGAGGUAACGGCUCACCAAGGCGACGAUACAUAGCCGACCUGAGAGGGUGAUCGGCCACACUGGGACUGAGAUACGGCCCAGACUCCUACGGGAGGCAGCAGUAGGGAAUCUUCGGCAAUGGACGGAAGUCUGACCGAGCAACGCCGCGUGAGUGAAGAAGGUUUUCGGAUCGUAAAGCUCUGUUGUAAGAGAAGAACGAGUGUGAGAGUGGAAAGUUCACACUGUGACGGUAUCUUACCAGAAAGGGACGGCUAACUACGUG